This 426-nucleotide ribosomal RNA is filed under the name uncultured Desulfovibrio sp. RNAcentral's name for it is "bacterial SSU rRNA". It matches the Rfam family "Bacterial small subunit ribosomal RNA", at positions 356 to 774 of the family's 1533-position model. The record is from RNAcentral. Lineage: Bacteria; Pseudomonadati; Thermodesulfobacteriota; Desulfovibrionia; Desulfovibrionales; Desulfovibrionaceae.
GGGGAAUAUUGCGCAAUGGGCGAAAGCCUGACGCAGCGACGCCGCGUGAGGGAUGAAGGUUCUCGGAUCGUAAACCUCUGUCAGAAGGGAAGAAACCGCACCGUGCUAAUCAGCGGUGCAUUGACGGUACCUUCAAAGGAAGCACCGGCUAACUCCGUGCCAGCAGCCGCGGUAAUACGGAGGGUGCAAGCGUUAAUCGGAAUUACUGGGCGUAAAGCGCACGUAGGCUGCUUUGUAAGUCAGGGGUGAAAUCCCACGGCUCAACCGUGGAACUGCCUUUGAUACUGCUUAGCUUGAAUCCGGGAGAGGGUGGCGGAAUUCCAGGUGUAGGAGUGAAAUUCGUAGAUAUUCGGAAGAACACCAGUGGCGAAGGCGGCUCACUGGCUCGUAACUGACGCUGAGGUGCGAAAGCGUGGGGAGCAAACA